Molecule: ribosomal RNA, 378 nt
Filed under: uncultured bacterium
Lineage: Bacteria
Description: bacterial SSU rRNA
Rfam family: Bacterial small subunit ribosomal RNA
Source: RNAcentral
GAUGAACGCUAGCGGAAGGCCUAAUACAUGCAAGUCGAACGGGCAUAUUGAUUUCGGUUAAUAUGUUAGUGGCGCACGGGUGAGUAACGCGUACACAACCUACCUUAUAUUGGGGGAUAGCCCCUGGGGAAACUGGGAGUAAUACCGCAUAACAUUAUAGAGAGGCAUCUUUUUANAAUUAAAGCAUUUGCGAUAUAAGAUGGGUGUGCGUCUGAUUAGGUAGUUGGUAGGGUAACGGCCUACCAAGCCGACGAUCAGUAGGGGGUGUGAGAGCAUGGCCCCCCACACGGGUACUGAGACACGGACCCGACUCCUACGGGAGGCAGCAGUAAGGAUAUGGUCAAUGGAGGCAACUCUGAACCAGCCAUUCCGCGUGAA